This 246-nucleotide unclassified non-coding RNA is filed under the name Melitaea cinxia (Glanville fritillary). Its description in RNAcentral is "misc RNA ENSMCXG00005015745.1". The record is from RNAcentral. Lineage: Eukaryota; Metazoa; Arthropoda; Insecta; Lepidoptera; Nymphalidae.
UGUUGACCGCAGUACUGGCUUUGUCGCACCGAAGACGCUGCUGCCCGUCUUCGGCCUGUGUAUUUCAAAGCCAGCAGUUGGAUGGUUAUCCCGCCAUCGGUCGGCUUCUUAAGUUCCAAGGUGGUUGUGGAACCUUGUUAUCCCUUAGUCGCCUCUUACGACACCCACGGGAAGAGAGGGGGUGGCUAAAUUCUUUAGUGCCGUAGCCACACAACACCCCGUGGAUGUAUAUGACUUGUAAAAAAA